CCUACGGGUGGCAGCAGUGAGGAAUAUUGGUCAAUGGGCGCGAGCCUGAACCAGCCAAGUAGCGUGAAUGAUGACUGCCCUACGGUUUGUAAACUUCUUUUAUCAAGGAGUAAGCUGAGGCGCGUGUGCCCUUUUGUAUGUACUUUAUGCAUAAGGGUAGGCUCACUCCGUUCCAUCCGCCGCGGUAAUACGGAGCGUCCGAGCGUUAUCCGGAUUUAUUGGGUGUAAAGGGAGAGUAGCGGGGUGGUUAAGUCAGUUGUGAAAGCUCGGGGCUCAACCGUAAAAUUGCAAUUGAUACUGGCAGGCUGGAGUACAGUAGAGGGAGGCAGAAUUCGUGGUGUAGCGGUGAAAUGCGUAGAUAUCACGAAGAAUACCGAUUGCGAAGGCAGCCUACUAAAC
Molecule: ribosomal RNA, 399 nt
Filed under: uncultured bacterium
Lineage: Bacteria
Description: partial 16S ribosomal RNA
Rfam family: Bacterial small subunit ribosomal RNA
Source: RNAcentral